AGGUACUUUAGGAUAAAGAUAGAUCAUACAUUAAUGAGAUAUGUUAAUAUUUAGGAAAUGAAAUCAUAUAAAAGUAAUAAAUUAGUGGUUAGAGAAACCUAAAUUAUAUAUAACUAAGGAAAUAUGCAGCAUUUAAUAUUAUCAAAAUUGUUUAUUAACUGCAUCGAUUUAGAGAUGACAACAAACAGGUUCAGAAAUAGUUUUACUAAAAUUGAACUCGUCUC
RNAcentral lists this long non-coding RNA (224 nucleotides) under Carica papaya (papaya). RNAcentral describes it as "long non-coding RNA (CPAP_LNC004722)". Lineage: Eukaryota; Viridiplantae; Streptophyta; Magnoliopsida; Brassicales; Caricaceae. The record is from RNAcentral.